RNAcentral lists this ribosomal RNA (465 nucleotides) under uncultured bacterium. Its description in RNAcentral is "partial 16S ribosomal RNA". It matches the Rfam family "Bacterial small subunit ribosomal RNA", at positions 28 to 507 of the family's 1533-position model. The record is from RNAcentral.
GAUGAACGCUGGCGGCGUGCUUAACACAUGCAAGUCGAACGGAAAGGCUCCUGCUUGCAGGGGUACUCGAGUGGCGAACGGGUGAGUAACACGUGGGUGAUCUGCCCUGCACUUCGGGAUAAGCCUGGGAAACUGGGUCUAAUACCGGAUAGGACCACAUUUUGGAUGGUGUGGUGGAAAGUUUUUCGGUGUGGGAUGAGCUCGCGGCCUAUCAGCUUGUUGGUGGGGUAAUGGCCUACCAAGGCGUCGACGGGUAGCCGGCCUGAGAGGGUGUACGGCCACAUUGGGACUGAGAUACGGCCCAGACUCCUACGGGAGGCAGCAGUGGGGAAUAUUGCACAAUGGGCGCAAGCCUGAUGCAGCGACGCCGCGUGGGGGAUGACGGCCUUCGGGUUGUAAACUCCUUUCGCUAGGGACGAAGCGCAAGUGACGGUACCUGGAGAAGAAUCACCGGCUAACUACGUG